GGAGGGAUCGUCAAAUUGGUAUGGCACCGCAUUCGAAAUGCGGCAUCCGAAAGGAUAUCGGGGUUCGAGUCCCCGUCCCUCCG
This 83-nucleotide transfer RNA is filed under the name Bdellovibrionales bacterium. RNAcentral describes it as "tRNA-Ser". It matches the Rfam family "tRNA". From Rfam's summary of the family: Transfer RNA (tRNA) molecules are approximately 80 nucleotides in length. Their secondary structure includes four short double-helical elements and three loops (D, anti-codon, and T loops). The record is from RNAcentral. Lineage: Bacteria; Pseudomonadati; Bdellovibrionota; Bdellovibrionia; Bdellovibrionales.